RNAcentral lists this unclassified non-coding RNA (348 nucleotides) under soil metagenome. RNAcentral's name for it is "partial contains 5.8S ribosomal RNA, internal transcribed spacer 2, and large subunit ribosomal RNA". The stretch from base 1 to 120 matches the Rfam family "5.8S ribosomal RNA", at positions 35 to 154 of the family's 154-position model. The record is from RNAcentral.
GAUGAAGAACGUAGCAAAAUGCGAUAAGUAAUGUGAAUUGCAGAAUUCAGUGAAUCAUCGAAUCUUUGAACGCACAUUGCGCCCGCUGGUAUUCCGGCGGGCAUGCCUGUUCGAGCGUCAUUUCAACCCUCAAGCCCCCGGGUUUGGUGUUGGGGAUCGGCUCUGCCCUUCUGGGCGGUGCCGCCCCCGAAAUACAUUGGCGGUCUCGCUGCAGCCUCCAUUGCGUAGUAGCUAACACCUCGCAACUGGAACGCGGCGCGGCCAUGCCGUAAAACCCCAACUUAUGAAUGUUGACCUCGGAGCAGGUAGGAAUACCCGCUGAACUUAAGCAUAUCAAUAAGCGGAGGA